This 405-nucleotide ribosomal RNA is filed under the name uncultured bacterium. RNAcentral describes it as "partial 16S ribosomal RNA". It matches the Rfam family "Bacterial small subunit ribosomal RNA", at positions 33 to 526 of the family's 1533-position model. The record is from RNAcentral.
GACGACGCUGGCGGCGUGCUUAACACAUGCAAGUCGAACGAGUGGCGGACGGGUGAGUAAUGUCUGGGAAACUGCCCGCUGGAGGGGGAUAACUACUGGAAACGGUAGCUAAUACCGCAUACCAUCGGAUGUGCCCAGAUGGGAUUAGCUAGUAGGUGGGGUAACGGCUCACCUAGGCGACGAUCCCUAGCUGGUCUGAGAUGAUGACCUGCCACACUGGAACUGGGACACGGUCCAGACUCCUACGGGAGGCAGCAGUGGGGAAUAUUGCACAAGGGGCUAAAGCCUGAUGCAGCCAUGCCGCGUGUAUGAAGAGGGCCUUCGGGUUGUAAAGUACUUUCAGCGAGGAGGCGUUACUCGCAGAAGAAGCACCGGCUAACUCCGUGCCAGCCGCCGCGGUAAUAC